UACGUAGGGUGCAAGCGUUAAUCGGAAUUACUGGGCGUAAAGCGUGCGCAGGCGGUGAUGUAAGACAGGUGUGAAAUCCCCGGGCUUAACCUGGGAACUGCAUUUGUGACUGCAUCGCUGGAGUGCGGUAGGGGAGACUGGAAUUCCUGGUGUAGCGGUGGAAUGCGCAGAUAUCAGGAGGAACACCGAUGGCGAAGGCGGUUGCCUGGGGCUUUGCUGACGCUGAGGCGCGAGAGCGUGGGGGAGCGAACUGG
This 254-nucleotide ribosomal RNA is filed under the name uncultured bacterium. Its description in RNAcentral is "partial 16S ribosomal RNA". It matches the Rfam family "Bacterial small subunit ribosomal RNA", at positions 524 to 776 of the family's 1533-position model. The record is from RNAcentral.